AACAGGAUUAGAUACCCUGGUAGUCCACGCUGUAAACGGUGGGUACUAGGUGUGGGGUCCAUUCCACGGGUUCCGUGCCGUAGCUAACGCUUUAAGUACCCCGCCUGGGGAGUACGGCCGCAAGGCUAAAACUCAAAGGAAUUGACGGGGCCCCGCACAAGCGGCGGAGCAUGCGGAUUAAUUCGAUGCAACGCGUAGAACCUUACCUGGGUUUGACAUGGAUCGGGAGUGCUCAGAGAUGGGUGUGCCUCUUUUGGGGUCGGUUCACAGGUGGUGCAUGGCUGUCGUCAGCUCGUGUCGUGAGAUGUUGGGUUAAGUCCCGCAACGAGCGCAACCCUUGUUCACUGUUGCCAGCACGUUAUGGUGGGGACUCAGUGGAGACCGCCGGGGUCAACUCGGAGGAAGGUGGGGAUGACGUCAAGUCAUCAUGCCCCUUAUGUCCAGGGCUUCACGCAUGCUACAAUGGCUGGUACAGAGAGUGGCGAGCCUGUGAGGGUGAGCGAAUCUCGGAAAGCCGGUCUCAGUUCGGAUUGGGGUCUGCAACUCGACCUCAUGAAGUCGGAGUCGCUAGUAAUCGCAGAUCAGCAACGCUGCGGUGAAUACGUUCCCGGGGCUUGUACACACCGCCCGUCAAGUCAUGAAAGUUGGUAACACCCGAAGCCGGUGGCCUAACCGUUGUGGGGGAGCCGUCGAAGGUGGGACUGGUGAUUAGGACUAAGUCGUAACAAGGUAACC
This 735-nucleotide ribosomal RNA is filed under the name uncultured bacterium. Its description in RNAcentral is "bacterial SSU rRNA". It matches the Rfam family "Bacterial small subunit ribosomal RNA", at positions 771 to 1501 of the family's 1533-position model. The record is from RNAcentral.